Molecule: ribosomal RNA, 246 nt
Filed under: uncultured bacterium
Lineage: Bacteria
Description: partial 16S ribosomal RNA
Rfam family: Bacterial small subunit ribosomal RNA
Source: RNAcentral
GCAAGUCGAACGGUAAGGUACUUUCGGGUACUGAUAGAGUGGCGAACGGGUGAGUAAAGCGUAGGAAUCUGCCCUAAAGUGGGGGACAACACGGGGAAACUCGUGCUAAUACCGCAUAUGUUCUUCGGAAUAAAGAUAACCUCUGAUUUAAGCUGUCGCUUUGGGAUGAGCCUACGUACGAUUAGCUUGUUGGUGAGGUAAAGGCUUACCAAGGCAUCGAUCGUUAGCUGUUCUGAGAGGAAGAUC